Non-coding RNA from Acanthosepion pharaonis, 115 nucleotides. Lineage: Eukaryota; Metazoa; Mollusca; Cephalopoda; Sepiida; Sepiidae. The record is from the annotation of a GenBank genome assembly.
UACAGCCAUAUCACGUUGAAACACUGAUUCCCCUGUAGAAUCAUCAAAGUUAAGCAAUGUUGAGCCUGGUCAGUACCUAGAUGGGUGACCACUUGGGAAUCGUUGGUGCUGUAAG